CAGCCGCCGCGGGAAUACGUAGGUGGCAAGCGUUGUCCGGAAUUAUUGGGCGUAAAGGGAGCGCAGGCGGUUUAGUAAGUCUGAAGUUAAAGGCAUUGGCUCAACCAAUGUAUGCUUUGGAAACUGUUAGACUUGAGUGCAGAAGGGGAGAGUGGAAUUCCAUGUGUAGCGGUGAAAUGCGUAGAUAUAUGGAGGAACACCGGUGGCGAAAGCGUCUCUCUGGUCUGUCACUGACGCUGAGGCUCGAAAGCGUGGGUAGCGAACAGGAUUAGAUACCCCCGUAGUCCCUGUCUCUUAUACA
This 301-nucleotide ribosomal RNA is filed under the name uncultured bacterium. RNAcentral's name for it is "partial 16S ribosomal RNA". It matches the Rfam family "Bacterial small subunit ribosomal RNA", at positions 509 to 808 of the family's 1533-position model. The record is from RNAcentral.